UACAGAGGUCCCAAGCGUUGUUCGGAUUCAUUGGGCGUAAAGGGUGCGUAGGCGGCGCGGUAAGUCGGGUGUGAAAUCUCGGAGCUUAACUCCGAAACUGCAUUCGAUACUGCCGUGCUUGAGGACUGGAGAGGAGACUGGAAUUCACGGUGUAGCAGUGAAAUGCGUAGAGAUCGUGAGGAAGACCAGUGGCGAAGGCGGGUCUCUGGACAGUUCCUGACACUGAGGCACGAAGGCCAGGGGAGCAAACGGG
This 253-nucleotide ribosomal RNA is filed under the name uncultured bacterium. RNAcentral's name for it is "partial 16S ribosomal RNA". It matches the Rfam family "Bacterial small subunit ribosomal RNA", at positions 524 to 776 of the family's 1533-position model. The record is from RNAcentral.